This 468-nucleotide ribosomal RNA is filed under the name uncultured bacterium. RNAcentral's name for it is "partial 16S ribosomal RNA". It matches the Rfam family "Bacterial small subunit ribosomal RNA", at positions 28 to 507 of the family's 1533-position model. The record is from RNAcentral.
GACGAACGCUGGCGGCGUGCUUAACACAUGCAAGUCGAACGGAAAGGCCCUGCUUUUGUGGGGUGCUCGAGUGGCGAACGGGUGAGUAACACGUGAGUAACCUGCCCUUGACUUUGGGAUAACUUCAGGAAACUGGGGCUAAUACCGGAUAGGAGCUCCUGCUGCAUGGUGGGGGUUGGAAAGUUUCGGCGGUUGGGGAUGGACUCGCGGCUUAUCAGCUUGUUGGUGGGGUAGUGGCUUACCAAGGCUUUGACGGGUAGCCGGCCUGAGAGGGUGACCGGCCACAUUGGGACUGAGAUACGGCCCAGACUCCUACGAGAGGCAGCAGUGGGGAAUAUUGCACAAUGGGCGGAAGCCUGAUGCAGCAACGCCGCGUGCGGGAUGACGGCCUUCGGGUUGUAAACCGCUUUCGCCAGUGACGAAGCGUGAGUGACGGUAAUGGGUAAAGAAGCACCGGCUAACUACGUG